GGGGCCUCGAGCUUGCUUAUUCAGGGCCUCGGGAUCGAGUCUGAUAUCUCACCAAGGGUAGUCGAUUGAUGACUAACAGUUAUAAUAAAAUCAAUGAUGGCUAUUUAUGGCCAAUAAUGAGCAAUAAAUGAAGAACAAUAAAUGAAACACAGUGAAUAUAAGUAAUAAAUAUAAGUAAUGAGAUCAAGGGAAUAUGGUUGAGAUUAGAGAUAAUGUUCUUGUGUAUUCAAUAUUGAGAAAUAGAUCAUUUACAAAAUGACAAGGAUGCCCUUUAUAUAUGACAGAGAAUUCCAACAUAGUACAAAUGUAUUUAUUACAAAGAUAUAGAGUCGGUACAACUAUUUAAUGCCAUGGUGCGGGCCUGGACUAGCAUAAUAGGCUUCGUCAGCUCUGGUCACAUGCUUUGGGAACAUCACAUCGAGCCACCGAAGCUACUGGUUUACACUGCCUCGAGGCUGGUCGUUGUGAGCCCUUGAAGUCAAUCACUGGGAGACCUCGAGACGCCUUGAUGAUCGUAAAAUCGAACCGCCGAUUUUUACUGCAUACAAUACAGUGAAAACAAUAUCAAAGCGGUAAAAGAUGGCAUUUAACACAGUACGCUCAAACAUGUAAUAAAAAUUAGAUAAUAAAAGCCAAGUAUAACAGUUAUUCUAAACUCGAAUUCUUGAACCCUGAACCAGAGAUUCUGGGUUCUUGUCCCCAGCGGAGUCGCUAGAGAUGUCACACCUCUUUUUUACCCGAGGGUGUAUAUAAGGGAGUUUUUCUAAUUAAAGUGACAUUAUUUGAAAUAGGAUUAUUUUAUUUAUUUAGGAUCGUCACUUGGGAUAUUUAUUAUGGUGUCCCAAGUCACCGGUUUAUUUAAAAAUCGCAUAUCAAGGAAAUUUGACUUCACUUAAAAGUCUGCAAAACCAGAAAAAACUAUAUAAGGAAUUCUAUUAACCCGGGAGAAGGUGUUAGGCAUUCCCAGGUUUCGUAGUUCUAGCACGAAUGCUUAACUACUAAUAAUUGACCUAAUUAUAUAAUUAAUUGCAUGUUUUAAACCUAUUAUGCAUUUUUUUAACUUUGUAACCCCUUUUAAUUAUUUUAACCCACUUUUAGGAUUUAUGGGAUUAUUUCUUGAAGAAGUCAUGAUUAUCGUACACUUGCCAUUUUGGAACAUAUUGUAAACCAUGCUACAUUAAAUGCACCCGCGAUUUGCGAUAUUUUUAUUUUAUUAUUAUUCACAAUUAUUAUGGUCGGGUCACAUAAAAUGCACACCCGAAUCGUGCCUAAACCAAAACUACGAUGUUCAAAUUACAUCCUAAGCUAUUAUGAGAUUAUUGUAAAAGUCCAUGGCAGCAUGUAGGGUAUUUUUGCUACUUGGGGUAAUCUAGCCUUAAUUGUUAUAAACUUAGAAUAUGAGAAAAUGAGCCCAAUUGACUAUUUGUAAAACAGGCCCAGUCGCGACUAUGAAUUGACUGGGCCUUUCGUGGUUAUGUUUUUCAACAACGAAAAAUUGCCUAAAAUAUACAUUGUCCAAGUCCAGACUUGGUUCACACAAGAGUAAUAUCAGAAAACUAUUGCAUUAAACUUUUAAAAUUAGCUAUACUACUAUGAUUUCUAACAACCCACAUAAAAUUAGAAUUAUGUUAAUUUCAGACAAAUAAGUUCAUAGUUGGGGGCCAAGCUAUUGGGCUUAGUACCCAGGCCUAGUUUCCUCACAUUGGACAAGGCUUGCACGUACAUAGAACUUGCAUGCUUGCUCGGCCCAAUACACUUAAACUAAAUGAUGAUGGGGAGCUAAGAGCAGAUACAACAAUUACCCAUAAAAUAGAAUUUACAAAGGAAAACAAAUUCGCUAUGCUUUACGUGAUAAUAGCAAUGGGAUAUGAUUUGAGUACCAAUAUCAACACAAUAAUCCCAAAUUAUGCAAACAAUCUCUUAUUAAAUUACAAUCAUCCUUGGGCUUAAAUAUUCCCAUAAUAGAAUUACAGAAUACAUUAUUUAAUACUCCUCUUAAUCUCAUUCUUUCAAACUCAAAACUAUAUGGAUUCACAAAGCUGCUACUCAUAUGAGGCCUUUUACUAUAAUGACUCACCUAAAUCUCAAGCUAACAGUCCAUAUCAUGUUGUGACUAGAUCCUGCGUACUUAUGCCAUAAGAUGAAUUACUUUUGAAAAUAUUAGGCAAAGGUAAGGUGAAUCAAAACACCAAACUAGAAGUAUCAAUAGCAGAAAACAAAUUAAUUUAUCCCUAAACCAGUUCUAAAACUGAGCCGUACAAAAUAGAUUCAACCAGGGCAAGGAGUUAACAUCUAUUAACUACUUAAUAGAAAACAAAAGGUAGUGUAGUAAUUAUAAGCAAACAUUUUUCAAUUCAUAGUAUUACUUUAUUCAAAUAGAAGCCCAAAUAUUCAUUCAUGACACAUAUGAACAGCAUAAAUCACAACUUGAACAAAACUGAUGGUCCACAAGGAUUCAACAAUUUCAUAGUCAUUUAACAAAGCAUAAUACAAGGGAUUUGUGGACUGACCUAGCUGGCUAAUAGAUAAACAAAGAGAAGUGGAAUCCAUCCCAAGUAAAAGAUCCCAGCAGCAACUUUCUGCAGUAGAACCAGAAAUUCAAACAAUCAAUCGAACUUGUAUAUCCAAAAAGGUGAAGCAGAAAAAUAGAGAUGGAGAAAGCUUGAAAUCCUCUCUAUUUUUUGGUUUUUUCUUGUGUUUGAAUUUAAUUUUCAGAGUGCUUUUUUUUAGAAAAUCAGUGAGUAUGGAGAGUCAGGCUUAUUCCUUCUAUAGGCUGCACAAAGAGAGCAUAAAAAAAGAAUAUUCUACCCUAGAAUUCUGAAAUGUCAGAUAGUACAACUUCUUUUAACAGCUGUUUGUCCUUUUUUCUAGCCAAUUUAAGCAUUUUCAUGCUAAAAUGGGCACAGUUGUCCAAUACUAGAACUUUCUCAUAUUUUCCUCAUUUUAAAUUCCCAAUUUUACCCUUUUCAGUUUUGUUUAUUGCAAUUUCAACCCAAUUUGACCUAAUUCUAAUUGUGAUUACCCAUUAACCCCUUCUAGAACCUAUUAGAACAAUCUAGGCAAAUUCAGACUUUUCUUGAAUUGUUUUUCAAUUAAGCUCCCCCCAAAACCUUUGUUAUUAUCUUUUCCAUUCUUUAAACCAUUUAAACCUAAAAUCAAUCAUCUGAAUUAAGGCAACCUAGCUAAAACCAUUCUGAUUUAAGACCUAAACCAAUAAUUGAAAUAGGACGUUUAUUUAAUUAAACCUACUAAACCCAAACAAAUUUAAAUUCAAAACAACAAAAAUGGUAGAAAAACAGUAACAAAAUGGUGAACAAAAAUAAUGAUGCUAUAAAACCUAAUAAUUAAUCCUAAUUAAUCAAAACUUGAUGCAAUUAACCUAACUUACAAAUAAUUAAACUGCUUUUUGUUAAUCACCAUGUUUAACAUGUUCGAACAAUUUUUUCAGAAUUAACCUAACAGUGAAUUCAAACACUAAUUAGUCUAAACACACGGCAAAACACAUGCAAUAUCAUCAAAGCAAAAAGAUAUAGACGGAAAGAAAUCAAGAAAUAUACCUAAAGAAGAACUCUAUCGAAUCAGAACAACUUCGAAAUAGAUCCAAAAACUAAGUUAAUUAAUUGUUCUUGUUGAGAACGAUCAAUUAACGUAGGUUAUAAUCCAAAUCGAGUCUUGAAAACUCGGAGCAAAUCAAAAAGGGGGAAAACUAGGUUUGUUCUUAGAUUUGGGAUUCGAAGAAAUCAACAGGGAAUUUAUGGAAAUGGAUGGUAGCAUAGUGAUGAGUGGAGGCUUGGGAUUGUGGAGUGUGAUUUUGGGUUUUUCUGGGCGGCUUAGGGUUUGGUUAAAAUCUCAUAUCUUAGAUUGAUGAAAAUCGGCAGGAAUUUUGGUGAAAAUGUUAAUGGAUUACGUUUGAGGGACUGUGGGUAGUGUGGGGUGUGAAUUUGGGGUGAUUUGGAGGUGUUCCGCCACCGUAGUGCGAUUUUUUGGCGGCGGAGACGGCGAAGGAUUCAAAGGCAGCUAAGGUUUGGUGUUUUGAGAGAGAUGAAAUGGAAUGAGUGGGGGGGGGGGGGUCUUUGGGGUAUGAUCUCUUCGGACACUUAAAAUGAGAUAGGGUUUGGAGUUGUGAGUCGUUGGAUCAAAAGAAUCCAACGGCUAGGAUUAAAAGAUGAUGAAACGGCGUCGUUUAGGUGUGAGGUGUGGGGGGGGGGGGGAGAUUGGACCAGGUAUGGGGAGUAUUGGGCUUAGGCGAAACUGAGUAAAAAUAGAAUUUGGGCCAAUGAAUUUUGCUUUGGGUGGCCCAAAAAUCAGAACCCCCAAACAAAUUAUUUCUCAAAUUUUCUUUUUCUUUGUUUUUCCUUUUCUUUUCUUUAAUUUUAAAUACUUAACUAAAUUAAUUAAAAGUCCUAAAUUAAAACCUAAAUUAAUCUAAUCUGUAAAAUCAAACUAACCAUCUAUUUAUAAUAUUUACAAAAUUAAUUAAUCCUAAAUUGAUGAAGAGAAAAUUUAAUCUAAUACUAAAAGUUAAAAAUGUAAAAUGAACAAUAUUUUUUUUUUGUGAUUUUUAUUUUAGUAAAGCAAUUAAUUAACUAUUUAAUCCUAAAAUACGAACACAAAACCUAAUAUUCAAUGCAUAAAUUUUUACGUUUUGUGGUAUUUUUCAUGAUUAUAACAAAAUCAAAUGUGCACAGAAAUGCAAACAAUUAAUAAAAUCCUACAAAAAUUCUAUGAAAUUAAAAAAAAUUAUAAAAUCUAUUUUCUUUACUUUUUGUAGGAGUAUUUCUAGUAGGGCAAAAAUCACAUGCACGUUUGGUAUGUAGUAUAGGCGCAUAAAUAGUGCCUCAAUUUUUGAGCUAUCUAUGUCAAGGUGCAGCAGGUAUGUUCCAGCAAAGAAUACCAUGCUUCAUAAGGUGUGAACUUCUUAUUCCAGUAAUAUAUGGUCUACUAUUUUCUUCCCAUCUCGUCAUGUUUCCCCAAAACACAACCGAAAGCCCCAUCUAGUACGGACAAAUAUAAUAGCAGAGGUUUACCAGGUUCUAGCGGGACCAAGACUGGUGGCAUGGAUAGGUAUUCCUUGAUUUUGUCAAAAUCUUUCUGGCAUUUUUCAGUCCAUUUUCUUGCAGCACCUUUCUUUAAUAUUUUGAAAAUUGGCUCACAAAUCACGGUUGACUGUGCUAUGAUUCAGCUGAUGUAAUUGAGAAGCCUUAAGAAACUCAUCACAUCUUUCUUGCUCUUCGGGGUUGGCAAAUCUUGUAUGGCUUUGACUUUUGAGGGGUCCAAUAGCAAUUUUCAGUAGGGACUCCGAAAGCACACUUUGCAGGAUUCAGUUUCAGAUUGUACCUUCGAAGUCGAUUAAAGAAUUUCCUUAAAUCUGCUAUAUGAUAUGCGCUUCUUCUGGAUUUUAUAAGGAUAUCAUCUACGUAUACCUCUAUUUCUUUGUGAAUCAUGUCAUGGAAAAUGGUCUUCAUGGCUUUCAUACAAGUGGACCUAGCAUUCUUCAGGCCAAACGACAUUAUUUUGUAACAAUACAUUCCCCAUAGAGCGAUAAAGGUUGUUUCCUCGGCAUCAUCCUCAUCCAUCCAGAUCUGAUGGUAUCCCCCGAAGCAAUCCACAAAGGAUUGGAGUUCAUGCUUGGCAUAGUUGUGAAUCAGUAUAUGUAUAUUGGGCAAUGGAAAAUCAUCUUUGGGACUUGGUUUGUUUAAAUCUCGAUAGUCGACACAUACUCUGACCUUCCCAUCCUUCUUUGGAACUGGCACGAUGUUGGCUAACCAAGUUGGAUAUUCGACCACUCUGAGAACUUUGGCUUUGAUGUGCUUGGAAACUUCUUCUUUGAUCUUCAGGCUCAUAUCAAGUUUGAACUUUCUUAGUUAAUGUUUUAUGGGCGGACACAUCAGAUCGGUAGGUAGUUUAUGAGUCACUAUAGACGUGCUCAAACCAGUCAUAUCAUCAUACGACCAUGCAAAAAUGUCCUCAUACUCCUUUAGGAAAGAGGUGUAUUCUUCUUUUUCUGAUAGUGACAAAUGGAUACUUAUAUGGGUUUCUUUGACUAUUUCAGAAUCUCCCAAGUUGACUAUCUCAGUUUCGUCCAAUUUUUGGUAAUUACGACGCUUCAUGAGCACGUUUUCAUAGGCUCAAGAUUAUGGUUGAGAUUAAACCCGAGGGAUUAUCGACAUCCAGCCUCGGGGUAGUGCAGAUCGAUAGUCAUGAUUGAAAAAUGGGAGGCUCCCAAGGCAUGUGACUAAAGCUAACCUAGUCUAUUUGGCUAGUUUAUGUCCGUACGGUGGCAUUAAAUGGUUGUACCAACCCCAUCUCUUUGUAAUAAAUGUAUUUGUACUAUGUUGGGAUUCCCACUCAUAUAGAAAGGGGAUCCUUGUCAUUUUGUAAGACAUCUGUUACUCAAUAUUAAAAUGCAAAAACAUUCUCUCUACUUUCUAACAUAUUCUCUUGAUCUCAUUUCUUACAUUUAUUGCUUAUAUUCAUUGUGUUCUAUUUAUUGUUCUUCAUUUAUUGCUCAUUAUUGAUCAUAAAAGUAUUCCAUCAAUGCUAUCAUAACUGUUAAUCCCCCAUCGAUUGCCCCUAGCUGAGCAUCCGACUCGACCUCGAGGCCCGUAUACGCCAACUCGAUGCCCCUAUUUCCAACCAUUCGGUUUGGUCAUUAUACUAUCUACAAACACUUAUCUCAUUUUCUAAUCAAUUACUUAGCAUCUAUUACCUAAACAACUAGAAUAAAAUAGAUCACGUAAUUUUAGAACCACAAAAUCAAAUCUAAUUGUAAUUACCAUUUUCAAGGUAAAUAGUUUGGCGCCCACCGUGGGGCUAAGAAUAAUACUGAUUAUUUUCUUUUUGGUUUGCUACAUAACGCAAGUUACCUUUCACACUUUUUCUUGUCCAAGAUCUUUGAUUUCCGGUAAGAAUGUUUAACUCAUUAAACGCACGUGAAAACAAUAAUCUUGAGGACCAUGGGGAGAAUGGUGUGGAUGUUCCAGGUGUUGGUGUACCACCACGAAACCCUGAGAAUGCACCAGAACCAAUUCCCAUGGACGUGGUCUCGCGCAACGCUCAGCUCGUCGAAAUAAGCUCCCAUACAAACAGGAGCAUACACCAAGAAGAUCGAUAAGAAGCUCAAAAAUCCCCAACUCAGGAAGAACAAGGGGUUAGCCCUCACGUCAUCUUCAAAAUGCUACAAGCACAACAACAGGUGAUUGCUCGGCUGUAAAGCCAAAAAACAUCCCGAACACUCGGGAACUGGGAUCAACAACUAAAAACCGUAUGACCUCCAGGUCAGAGUUUCAAACUCGUAAGCCCUCAAUGAGGCAACAUCAGGUUCACAACACGACUCCAGAGCCAAAUACGUCCCGAACAUUCGGGGAUUGGCAUCAACAACUUGAAACCGUACGACCUCCGGGUCGGAGUUUCAAGCUCGUAAGCCCUCAAUGAGGCAGCAUCAAGUUCACAAAAAUGUUCCAGAGCUAAAAACUUUCCGAACAUUUGAGGACUGGCAUCAAAAACUUGAGGACGCAUGACCUCCGAGUCGGAAUAUUAGAACUCGUAAGCCCUCGAUGAGGCAAUAUCAAGUUUUCAAUGAAUGUCUCCCGAGCCAAGAAACUUUUGACGACUCAGGGACUACCGCUAACCGCCACCCCCAUCGACUUAUCAAACACCUGCGGUCAUAAGACCCCAUAUGGGCAGCCUCAGUCUUGCAAGACCUGUAUAAGGUAGCAACAAAAACUAUAAGACCUCAAGCAAGGCAUGAAUCAUACUUGUACCAAGUAACCAAAACUCUAAGACCGCAAGCAAGGGAUGAACCAUACAUGUACCAAGUAACCAAAACUGUAAGACCUCAAGCAAGGCAUGAACCAUACUUGUACCAAGUAACCAAAACUAUAAGACCUCAAAGGCAUGUAAAAAUUUGUAAGACCUUACAAAAGGCAUAAUCUCGAUCUUAAAGUUAAGGCUAUAUAUUGAACUUGUAAGACCCCUAAAAAGGCAUACACUCGAUACAGAUGUCGAAACUACUUCAAUCAGGAACUGAAAGGCUCCGGCCAAACAUAAUGAUUAUGGUCAAAAGGUUGUACUAGCCAAACUACCACGACUCGGGGACUCCCGACCAUCGCUAUAAAAUCAUAGGCCUUCAAUUACAUCGAAAGUACUUCGAAAAGAACCGGUUAAACAGCCUACCCUCGACAUAGGCAGAAGAGCUUUGGCCAUGUCAGCUCCAAACUAUAGGCUUCGCGAUACUCAGCCAUCGAGACAAACCUCCCGAGGUGAUCGAUCAUCACCAUAUAACGACUCACAAUCGAGGUUUUUAUCAUACCAUCGAAGAGUCAGGCAAACACAAUUUCAAAAGACCUUAACGAGGGAAAAAUAAAGUCUACUAGAGGUUGUACCAACCUAAUGCGUAAGAGCCACUGCUGCCAGCCCAUACUAAAGGUCAUACCGACCCAAUGCGAAAGAGCCACUGCCGUCAGCCCAUAUAAAAGGUCAUAUCGACCAAACGCAUAAGAGCCUAAGGGCCAACAUUAAAUUCAAAAACUUAAGGUUCAAUGAGCCCGAGUCGAAACCCAACUCGGAGAGUGAACCCGAAGCAGUUAACUAAAAAUGCCUAAGAGCUCAAACGCCAACUUAUACUGAAUGGUCGUACCAACCAAGUGUGUAAGAGCCUACGGGCUAGCCCAAUGAGCCCCAGGGCCAUACUAUGAAUCUGAGGAUUCCUUUUAACUCAAAGACCAAUUCAUCUAGCCAACAACUGACAAAUAUCAAGGCAAAAGGAAACGCAUGAGAAAUAAAACCGCGAGGCAUCUUUUUAUACAUAUAUGUGAGAGAAUACAAGCUUCAUUUACAAAUUUCUUUGAAAGCACUAUACACAAAACAAGAAAGUAAGGGCCUAAUCUACGUCCCCAUCGGGGACUAUGGUCCGUCGGCCUCUUUCUCUCCAUCUUCAGUAUCAGACAGAAGGAGCUUAGCACCAUAUUCUCCCGCCUUUGCCUGCUUUAUCUCUUCCGAGAGGUCGUAGCCCCUGGCAUGAAUUUCCUCGAGUGUUUCACUCUGAGAUUUGCACUUCACGUACUCUUUGCUCCUACUCUCAUGGUCCAAAGCCCCCCUUAGCUCAACACGAGCGUUGGCAGUGUCCUUCAAAUAGAUAGCCACCUUCUUAUCUGCCUUAGUUUAGAUUACUUCGGCUUCAGCCCGGGAAUCCACGUCUUCGGCCUUCACCUUCAGGAGCUCAGACUCGAGCCUUGAAAUAAUGUCCGUUCGGACCAAGGUAUUCUCGUUAGCAUUGCAAAAUUGCACUUCGAGGGUGAAAGCCUUGGCCAAAACAUCUUUCUUAGCCGAUAUAUGGGUAUCCAUCCGAGCCUUUAGCUCAUCAUGCUCGCACUUAGCUUGACCAACUUCGCUCAUAAGGCAUUCCAGGUCCUCUGUCAUUUUUUGCAACUGAAGUAGACAAAACAUUAGCCUCAAAAGGUAGAAGAAGAAACACGCACACCCUCAAAACAAACAUUACAUGCUCCUCAAGGUAGCUUUCGUAGUUCAGGCUUCGACUCGCCUCAUACCGCAAGUGUACAAACUCGUCUUCCCUUUCAUCACAAAGAAGCCUGAGGGAUUUUUCCGCAUCCAUGGCUUAUCGCAACCUGGUUUCACAGUAGAGUAGCUCAGACUUGAGCUUGUUAAAAUCCUAUGAAAGAAGAAACUCGUUAAGAGAGUAAAAUUUACAAAACUAUAAAACCAAUACGGAUGGCCAAAACACACCUUAGUGUAGAGCCGUUGAGCUUCCUUGAAAGUUGAGAGCACAUCUACUAGUCUGGCUCGAUCUACCCCGGUAGAACCGCCCCUCGUUGGGAUACAAUCCCCUGAUAUAUGCAGCCCCCGGCGUCAAACAUCCCUCGAAGUGCCUUCGAUAGGAGAAUAAGUCAGCGGCAGAUAACCCUCGUUCCUCAAAGUACCUUCAACUAUAUAAGAUGACGAUGGAGGGGGAGGGAUCAUUUUUCUAAAACUAGAAAUCUCGAGCGCUGAAGAUUCGGCUAAUACGCCCUCUUUGAACCUUCGGGCUGGACUAGUCUUGCUAUAAUCACCGUCGCCCUACGAAGGCCUUUCUUGCUUAUUAUUAUUAUUAUUAUUAUUAACCCUCACUCCUAAAGCCAACAAUCCUUCUCCCUCUCUUAGAGGGCACGAUCUUGCCUCAAAGAACUCCCCAAUGCCUAUGAUGACGGAGUUAGUACGCAUAAAAGAAAGUGCCUUUCAAAAAAGGAGCAAAUUGCAUAGCAAGUACGUGGUGUUUUGCCUCCCAUCUACCCUUAGACAAAGCUCACUAGUUACGCUCAUUAUAAAUCGAGUGGGUCGCCAGCUGCUGAGCCCAAUUCGUCAGGUCAGGGACCUCGCAUGACAUCCAUGAAAUUGCUACAGAAAGGGAAAGGAAGGCGCAUUUACGGAGCCUGCCUACGCCAUAAGCAAAACUACAAAGGCAUAAGUGUACCACUUACGUGUAAAAUUCCAUUCCUCAGGAAAUGGAAGAAACUCCACAGGGAUAAUAUCGAUAGUCCGUGCUCGGACAAACCAGCUCAUACAUCCCCGAUCCCCCUCUUCUUCAUCAUCAACAACGAAAGGCGUGGUGUAUCGGCAUUGUAGGGUUAGUAGACCUCGAUGGUCAAAAGGCUGGUAUAGCCUGAUGAGAUGACUAAGAGUGAAUUCAAGACAUGCUUCUUCUGCAAAGAACCUAAUCAUCAAUACUAUCCUCUAAAAUGACGGGUGAACCUAUGCCAAGGUAACCUGGUACUUUCAACAGAAGUCGAUCUGGGGGGCCAGCGUAAAGGGGUACAUGUACACGUUCAAAAGCCCCUCGAUGUGAUCCGUGAUGCUCUCUUUCGGGGAAGGUGCCCGCAAUACUACCUUCUUCCCCCAUACACAAUCUUUCCUCAGUGACUCAAGGUGCCCCUCUCCUAUUAAAGAAACAAACUUCGAGACAUACUCCCAAUGACCUCGAACAUUUUGGUUCAAGAAUCCUUCGAGGACGGAACUCCCUUCUCCUUGUCGAGCGGACCCUGGUGUAGCAGCCAAAAGUAUGGUAAAACUAGUGAAUUAGAGCGGGAAUUUGAGAAAGGGCUAUAAAGUUGAAAUGGUGAAGGACCUAACGCAGGAAAUAAGAACUCUAUAAAGGAGGAUAACUACUCAGAAUAGCGAAAUUCUCAAAAGAGGGAAGACAACUCUAUAUAUGGAGAAAGCAGUGACUAUAUGCCUGCCUCAAGGGCUAACUAAAAAUGCUGACUAAGAUGUUUUUUGCUUUGGGAAGAUGUACCUGCGGAGUUGCCUUGGUUGUUUCAUAACCAUGUCAUGUAAUUAACGGUGUCGUAUGAUGCUUUGGGGAUCAAAGACCCCCUCCCCAUCCCGCAUCAACAAGCCUAGAGAUGGUACCCGAUCUUGAGGACCUAUGUCAAGAAGAAGAUACGCUCCAAUGAGCCAUUAACACCAUUCCAAAACUCGAGAUGGUACCCAAUAUCGAGGACCUAUGUUGAGAAGAAGAUAGGCUCCAAUGAUCCACUGACAUCAUUACAAGCCUCGAGAUGGUACCCGAUCUCAAGGAUCUCUGUAAAGAAGAAGAUAGGCUCAAAUGAGCCAUUGACAUCAUUACAAGCCUCGAAAUGGUACUCGAUCUCGAGGACCUAUGCCAUGAAGAAGAUAGGCUCUAAGAAGCCAUUCACAUAAUUGCAAGCCUCGAGAUGGUAUCCAAUCUCGGGUACUUCUGUCAAAAAGAAGAUAAGCUCUAAAAAUCUACUCAUACAAGCCUAAUUUCAAGGUGGUACCCUACCUCGAGGAUUUUGCUAUUGUAAGUACGAGUCAUUUACUCGAUACCUGAGCCUGAGCCAAUUCUCACUCGAAAACUACUAAUAAACCACUAGGGUUAUUUCUCACCCUCGGGUCGAGUUAAAACCAUCCUCUUGGUUACUUUAACCCAGGGACCAUCUAAAUCCUGCUAAGCCCCUAUACGGGAUCUAUCUGCAAUGCCUUAAGGCUAUCUUCACUCUGAGUUCAAAACAAGUUUCCUGGUCGCCAGAACUUGAGCGAACUCUCACUCGUGGACCGCUUUCGAAAGCCUAAAGAUUAUCUUUAUUCUCAGACGUCCGAGCAAGUUCCCCCUCGAUGACUAUAACCAGGGCCUAAAAGGCUAAGUUUCGUUUUGAAAAUUUUGAAGCCCUAUUCUCACUCAACCUGAAAUCGAGGGCCCUGAUGGCCCUAGUUAUCAAUCCAAUUCGGGCUCAGUUCGAGGAAUGGAAAAGGGUUCUACAGGGUAUCGUGUUAAUCAAUCAAGAGCCAGAGAAGUACUUACACCCAAGCUCGGCAUUCGUACCCAUCGGUACAGUCAAGCAUUAAGAUUCUUCGUAAACGCAGAUAAAGGGAAAUAUAGCAUAAAUCAGAGACAAAUUGAAGAAACAUCUUUGUAUUCGUAAAUGAUGAUUACAAAAAGCCCAUUAAAGGACCUUAUACAUAAUUACAAAAGCCCACGAAGGGUCCUUACACAAAAAUAAAGAAGCAAAAGUUACAACUAAAAGUCUAAUCUACUCUCAGGGGUACAUCUACGAGAGCAAUGCCUUCAAGAAUAAUUUCUUUAUGGCCACAUCUCGGCCUUCUCAUCGGCAUCUUCAAGGACGAGGAAGAUGCAGCAAAACAAUACAGAAGAAGCAGAAAUGGUUGAAGAAAAAGCCGUAUCCUGCCAAAGAGCAAAAGCUUUUACGAGGCCUAGAAAGUUACAGCUCGAUAGAAGACUUGACGAGCGUAGGCCCAACCUGCACGACUACUUUGAGUACACUUCUUGUAACAUUGUGUCGUGCAAUUUAGUGGCCGGUAGUGCCACUUCACCCCACGGAAAGCAAAAAGGGAUGAAGUACCACACCAGGCCGGAGUAGAGAGGUGAGCAACGGUGUAAAUUCCGAACAUCCUCCUGAGCAGCAGUGUAGAGUCCGAAUAUCUUCCUGAGUAGGAUGAAAUCGGAGCCCCUAUCGCAUCGUCUUGAUCCAACGACGACAGUAGUAGCAACAAUAACAACAAGUUAGUGCAAUCCCGCUCAGAGAAAGACAACUCUGAGAAAGGGCCAUUGUGUAGCCGGUGAAAGCGUUGUCGCAUGACCUUACGGCCAUAGGCGUUAAACAAGAGAAAUAAAAUUGGACGGGGGCGAUGAGAAGAAAGGAGUUGGAAAAUGGUGAAGAAUGACUGAGCGAAGUUUUGAUUCAAGAAAGCUUCCAUUUAUAUAGAGAGGGUAGCGCAACCAACCGUCAUAAUCAAUACUCUUUGGAAAACGUAUCGACAGGUGCAAUCAAUAUUUUUGGGAGACAGAUCGGCGGCAGUGUUAUUACUUUGAAAAAAUAAACUGACAGUGUAAUAAGUGUUCCUAAAAAAAGACACACUAACAGGAUGCCUCGGUUAUCGUGGAGGCUUAUGUCAUGAGUAUUACAUCAUCACAGGAAGUUCAAGAAGAUGGAUAUCGAAGUCGUUUCUUAUCGAUACACUCUAAGAAAUGCAGGGACUAUCUGUAUACGGUAAAAUCGGGGGGUCCAAUUUUCGGUUAUUACGACGCUUCAUGAGCACGUUUUCAUAGGAUCGAGAUUAUGGUCGAGAUUAACACCCGAGGGAUUAUCGUCUUCCAGCUUGGGGGUAGUGUAGAUCGAUAGACAUUAUGAAAAAGUGGGAGGCUCCCAAGGCAUGUGACUAAAGCUGACCUAGUCUAUUUGGCUAGUUUAAGUCCGUACUGUGGCAUUAAAUGGAUGUACCAGCCCCAUCUCUUUGUAAUAAAUGUAUUUCUACUAUGUUGGGAUUCCCCCAAUAUAUAAAGGGGAUCCUUGUCAUUUCGUAAGACAUCUGAUACUUAAUAUUAAAAAUAUAAGAACAUUCUCUUUGCUCUCUAACAUAUUCUCUUGAUCUCAUUAGUUACAUUUAUUGAUUAUAUUCAUUGUCUAUUUAUUGCUCUUCAUUUAUUGCUCAUUAUUGAUCAUAAAAGGCUUUUAUCAAAGCUAUCAUAACUGUUAAUCCCCCUUUGAUUGCCCCUAUCCAACCAUCCGACUCGACCUCGAGGCCCCGAUUUCCAGCCAUUCGGUUUGCUCAUUAUACUAUCUACAAGCUCUUAUCUCAUUCUCAAAUCUCUUACUUAGAAUCUAUUGCUUAAACAUCUAGCAUAAAAAUAGAUCACGUAGUUUUCGAACCACAAAAUCAAAUCUAAUUGUUAUUACCAUUUUCAAGAUAAACAACUUCCGCUUAAUCACUAUCCUUAUGUUGCGUUGUCUCGUUACAUGUCACAGUCGUUGGUUCAUCAGGUUAAGUAAUAAUAAUGCUAUAGAGAAGAAAUGAAAAAUAUAAUAAAUACUAAAAUAACAAUGCAUUAAUUAAAUCUCGAAAACAUCAAAACAGGUACGGCUCGAUGACUCGAGCAAUUAUUUCAAACCAAAAUGCGUGUUAAAACAAAAUACUGGAAAUUACUUAAAUGUUUUAAUUUUUUUUUUAAAAACAAAUCAUGCUAAUUGCAAGGGUACCCAGGAACUCGACGGGCCAGGCAUGGUGUAGCAGUCCAAUUCUUGAGAACAACUCCUUUCUUCAUGGUUUAAAUGGUGAAGUCUUCUUCCUACUCCUCCUCAAUAAUUACAUUGCAGUCCAUGUAUUCAUCAUCCAAAAACAGAUCCCUUAGGCCAGCUAAAGCCUCAUCUUCUUCAGAUGCCCAUAUCAUGUCAGUCUAUUGAAAUGUUUGAUGCAGAUGUAGUAUUGGCUGUUCAAGAGGGUAAUAUGGGCCACGCCAUGACAGCGACCAAUCAUCGUACUCCUGCCAGGUGUAUUGAUACCCAAGUCCAAAGGUGUUACCAUGACGUUUUGGUUGUAUUGGCUUAGUGUAUUUCUCCAUUACAUUGACACGCUUGAUGCGAUGGUACGUUUCUCCACCCAACUUCCUUCUAUAAUCGACAACCAGAACAGUUCGAUUGGUGUAGAUGGGAUUACUUCCGUCUUCAUGAAUGAUCACCUCCUGAUGUUUCCAUUCGAACAUCAUGGUCUGGUGUAGCAUAGAAUCAACAGCUCCAGCAGCAUGUAUCCAAGGUCGUCCCAGCAACAAAUUGUAUGUAGCAGAUAUGUCCAAUACUUGAAACUCAACAUCAAACCAAGUCGGGCCCAUCUAUAAACAAAGGUUGAUAUCUCCAAUUGUGGCCCUUUGAGACCCAUCAAAUGCUUUCACAUUCAUACUCCCUGCUCAUAUCUCAUGGAAAUCCUUACCCAACAUUUUCAAAGUAGUCAACACACAAAUGUUGAGGCUUGAACCCCCAUCUAUUAGGACUCUGGCUAUGAAUUUGUCCUAAAACUGUAAUGUGAUGUGUAGUGCCCUGUUUUGACUCAGUCCUUCAGGUGGUAGUUUGUCUUCGUGAGAGGUAAUCUUGUGGAUCUCCAAUACUUGCCCUGUCAUAUUGGACAUCUCUCCACUAGUGAUGUUGUUGGGCACAUAAGCUUUAUUCAACACUUUGAUUAGAGCAUUCCUAUGCAUCUCAGAAUUUUGUAGCAGCGAUAUAAUGGAAAUUUGAGCAGGGGUUUUGUUCAAAUGAUCCACUACAAAGUACUCCCUUGCUUGAACCUUUCUCCAAAGAUCGUCUGGACCAAUUUCAAUGAUAGGUUGUUUGGGAGAGGCUUCUUCGCUUGUUCCUCCCAAAUACUCAAGUGUCUAAACCCUUCCGGUCCUGGUCAUGCCUUGUGCGACACAUAUUUCCUCCAUCUUCCCUUUUCCUUUUCUUCUCGCCUCUACAGUAUAGUCCCAUGGUAUAUUAUUGGAAUUAAAUGACGGUGUGGGGGAAACCAUCACAGUGAAGGGUGUGGUCACUUCCACCUCGAACGGAUCUAGUGUGGUUGAGGGCAUUGUUAUUUAACCUCAAACGAAUCUGGCGUGGCUAUUUCAACCUCAAUUGGUGACUGAAUUUGCACUAUAAUGGGUGUGAGAGUGACUGGAGGUAUUGUUGUUUCAUCCCCUUCAUGAAUGAGUCCAAUUGAUCCUUCUAGAUCCCAUUCUUUAUUAGUUUCUAUCAUAUUUACCACUCGCCCCUAUGAUUCGGGUGGAAAUUGUUGCGGAUAUUUGGUGCAGCCUCUUUUGCUUGUAUAAACUUGGUGUCAAUCAGAGUCGGGAUCUUAUCUUUCAAAGUGCGACAUACAUCAAUAGUGCGUCCCUUCAUGCUCAAGUGGUAGGAACAUGUCUGGUUUUGAUUGACCCACUCGGAAGAGUUUUCCAUAGCAACAAUAGGGAUGGGGGUGACAUAACUAGUAGCCGUCAGUCUUUCAUAGAGCUGAUCAAUGCAUUCAGCAGUAGGAGUGUAUUUUCUGGGUGAUCUGCAGGAAAAAUUUGCUCUGGGUUUCUGGUAGUUUUGGCGGGCUCGUGGUGGUGAGUGGUAAUAUGCAGGCUGCGUGUUAUAAAUAUGGUAAGUGGUGGCAUGUUGUUGCUAUCUGGGAGGUGAAGGCUGAUAUGCGAGUGGUGGGGUUUGGUAUGUGAGAAGGAUUGGGCCUUGGGCUACCAUCACGGCGCCUACUUCUUUCUUUUUGGAUAUACCCCCUAACUGCAAAGCUUUAUUCAUAGCGUGUAAUGCCUCAAAAUUAAUUACCAUUCCUCUUUUGAUUCCUUUUUCAAUUCUUUCCCCCAAUUUAAUGAAGUCAGAGAACUUGUGAUUCUCAAUAACCAUUAACCUCACAUAGUAUUGUAGAUCCUAAACCAAACAAAGAAUUUGUUCAUUUGCUCUUCUUCCAAUACCGGUCUUACUUUUGCAGCUUUCGAUCUCCACCGAGUAGCAUACUCAUAGAAGGUCUCAUUUGGCUUCUUCUUGUGAUUUUGGAUAUACAAGACAUCUGGUGCAUUCUCUAAAUUAAAACUGAACCGAUCCAUGAAAUCUGAUGCCAUGCUUACUGAGCUAACCCAUUUAUUUGGAUUUUGACUAUUGUACCAAGAUAGGGUGUCACCAGUGAAGCUCCUCAUGAACAAUUUCAUGCAAAUCCUUUCAUCCUUUUCAACUCCUAUGAGUUUGUCACAGUAUGUCCUUAGAUGCACCUUUGGGUCACCUGUUCCAUCAAACAUCUCGAAUUUAGGAGGUUUGUAACCCUCUGGCAGUUCCACGUCCAGCUGAAUGCACAGGUCCUCGUAGUUCAAUCUCUCAAUGCUUUUACACCCUUUGACACCUUGGACUCGACUUGUAAGAUUUUUAAGUUCUUAUAUCAUAUUCUAGAUGAGUAGGUCCUUCUCAGUAGAUUUAGAUAUGUAUAGGGUUUUGUUGAGUAGUGUGGGGUAAGGUUUCCACAUAUAUGGGGUUGCUUUGAUGUACUAUGGGGAUUUGGGUAUAGUGGUGAUCAUUGGUUGAGUUUUGAGGAUUGGGAAUAAGUUGUGGUGCGUUCUGAGGAGUGUGAUAGGUAGUGGUUUGUGGAAACUCGGUUGGUUGAUGAUGAUGUUGUGGAGGAGUUGAUACCGGUGGAGGAUUGGGGUUUUUAGGCGGUGCGAAAUAUUGGUGAGGUGCGGGAGAAUUUUAUGGAUGCUGGUUGGAUGUAUUUUGGGGAAGUGCUGGGUUUUGGUGUCCUGUUGGUUGAUGUCAGGGACGUUCAGGGUAAGGGAGUGAUUUCCCAAGUUCCGAACCUGCUCAAGAUCCCCUUGUAACUCCAAUAUCUUUUGUUCCAGUCGCAAAACCAAGUCAUUUGGUGCUGGAGUGCUUCGACCAUCUGAAGUUUCAGCAUUGUCCUCAUGUGUGGUGUUAUCUUUCCUGAUGUUGCCAUUAUCAUCCAUUCUGGACUUUCCCUUGCUUUUAGGAUUGUUUUGAGGAGGAGGAGGUGGAGGUCCUCUUGGUCUUGUAUGAUAUGUUGAUGAUGCCAGUAUGCACAAACGAACCUUCGGGGAUGGGAAUAAACAAAUCAAGAAAAGAAGAAAACAAAAAAGUAAACAAGUCAGUGAGAAGUAUAAAGAGGUUGCUUGUAGUAUUUAAACACAUAUUGCGGAAUAAAUUCGCAUCUUAACUUGGGGACCUUAUUGUGCCUGGGGUAGGCCUAAGCAACAUAUAGAUUUGGAGAAAAACGGAUGCCAAUAACUCUGUCAUGUUAAUGUUAAAAUAAAUCGAAUCUCUAAUAAUACGAUAAUGAUAAUAAAAAGUCACUAAUUUCAUGUGACUUAUUACAACCAAAGCCUAAAACAAAUCUAUAAAAACAAGUAAAACAUAAUUUUUUAAUCUAUCUAGUACCAGAAGAACCUUCUUCAUGCUUGGCCUUCUUUGCUCCAUUGAUCAAGCUCCCUAGGUCGCGUGUGUCCCGCAGUAGAAACGCCCUUGCUAGGAGACCUCAUUCUCUUCCUUCCAUGUUUUGACAGCCUAUAACCCUGUUCCUCAUCUUCCCUUACAGCUCUAUCAAUCCCUGCUCUAAAUACUCCAACCUGUCUAUUGAUUUGGUGGCGAUUUAUCUCCAUUCAUUGAUUGCUUCCAUGUACGCUUUGUACUAUUCCAAAUGUCUGGCCUCAAAUUCAAAAAUCCUUUUUGUAACCUCAUAUAUUUGACUUGGGCCUCGGCAGCAUCAUCUAUGACCCUAUUGCCCAAAUCAAUCCCUGGCUUGACUUCUCACGCUAUGUCAUCGACCAACCUUGAUGGAUAAAAAUGCACAUGGCCAGCAUGGUAUCUAUCUGGCCCGAUGGUAUACUUCUCUGCCAUGUCCUAUAAAUUCCACAUGUGUUGUGCCUCGUACUUGAAUGGAAUAACAUCACCUUGGAAAUCUGCUUUGUAGUAAACAAUCUUGGAGACUCGGGGUAUGACUUGUUUCCUCUCAGCCUCUCAUGGCCCUAAUAAGAGCAUAGGGAUAGAUAUCCCUCAACCCAAUCAGCACUAAAUUAGGAACAUCUCUUGACCUAAUGAUAAACUCGCUGGUAGGGAACCACUCGAACAUCCAAUGGACUUUGUCAUCCGUCAAAUUGCUAAAGAACUGCACCUAAUCCACAAUAUUUUCCGAUUGUGCAAACCUAUCUAGGAUGAAAAUCAUUAUUUUUGGAUGGUGAAAAGCUAUGUGGUCAUUCCAUGGUCGCCGCGGAUAUUCCUAACUGUACUGUCCUCUUUGAAGAUGCUCCAACAACCAUAUUUGUAGUAACAAGUUGCGGCCCUCGAAAUGUCUGAAUCCCUUCUUGCAGUAGUCUAAAGCUCUGUAUAUUUCUUCCGCGAUCAUUGGUGUGAAUCCUUUCUCCUUACCCUAGGAAUACUAGCAUCCCUAGAAAAUAGACGAUGAACAUGAAAACCUGACGGUGGGUCAAACCCAACGAAGUAAUAGCAAACUUAUCAUGGUAAAGGCGGUAGGAUUUGCUAUGUCCAUAACGUGCGUAGGGUAAGUGGAAUGGUAUGUAAGACUUCUUUAAGUAGACUAACUCAUCAUUCUUUCUAAAACCCAUCAUUUUCAGAAACCCUCGAUAGGUGUGAUUCUCAGGUACUAAUAGACCAGGGAUAUCCCAAGGAAUUCCAGCAAAGCCCCCUGUUUUCUCUAGGAAGGGAGUCAUCUCUAUAUCCUCGAAAUGGAAAACAUCCCUCUUUUCAUCCCGAAACAUAGUAGUAGCCUCGAUCAGUAUAUUGUUUGGUUGGAUGUGUAGCAGAGAAGGUAGAUUCCCAAGAACUCUUUUUACAUGGUUUUUGUCACUUGGUGAAAGAUUUCCCCACCAAUCCAGUAACAAAGGUGGGAUAUUCUGAACCUUACCGAACCUGGGGACCUCGUGCCUUAUUUCUGCAAAACAGGUAAAGUAAGCCCUUGCCCCCUCAAGAUUUAGCUAAUUAGACACUAAUGAUCAACAUAUUGGCAUGUUUUUCUCCAAAUGAUGCAUAAAUCGUGAUUACCUCCAUUCAGAUUAUGGAAAUCCCGGCGGACUUUGGACAAUGUUUGUCCUAGUGAGUUAUUACGUGGACAUAAUGAAGGAAGUGUAAUAAAGCAAAUUAAAAGGUAAGGGUUGGGGAGAGAUAUGAUAUAGCAAAAAGUGUGGAGCUGGUGAACAUGAUUAAGGAAUAAGGGGAAACACAUCUUGUAAUCAAAUUAAACAAAGAAUCGCAUAUGAGUUCAUAUAGAAGGGAAAUGGCAAAAAGGAUGUGCAUGUAGCAAUAAAAGGGAAAAAUAGGAGUGGGAGACUCAGGUAAUAGCAAAAUAACAAAGGCACGCUUAUUAGAGAAGGCUAAUUCACAAAGAUCAAAUUCAUUUAUGGUAAGAGUCUAAAACAAAAUAUCCCCAGCAGAGUCGCAUGUUGUCGCGCCCCUUUUUCUCGCGAAAUCAGGUUUCAACAUUGACAACUCUUUUAAGGAAGGGUUUUAAAAGAGAGAGUCACCACCUAAUGGAUUAAGGUGCGUUGGCGUACCUAUUUGCAGAUAACUUUGUUUAACCAGUUUGCGCCACCAGAGAUCGGGUAAGAGCUCGAAAUUACCUCGAAGAGAAGGUGUAAGGGUAAGGGCUCGAAAUUACCUCGAAGAGAAGGUGUAAGGCACUCUUCGAGGUCCACAAUUGUGGGUCUCGACCGAACUCAAUUAAGUGAAUUAGUCUGAAGAAGAGGCGAGGAAAUUAUUUAAUAGGUAUCGAGGGUCCUAAGUAUUUUAGCCUAAAGGAUCACCCCGUGCAACAUAAAUAAUACUUUGUAACUCCUACAAGACAGGGAUGUUACUCAUUUUAUUCAGCGGGCACAGACUAUCAUCUCCUGCUACCCGUUUACUAUCUUUUAGUUAUUUACCUUAAGCGCUCUAAUCAAUUCUAACUCGUAUCCUAUGCGUGCACUACCCGUCCCUUAUCUAUGGUCUUGGAGGCACUGGGACCUCUAUUUUUGAUGGUUGUAGACUCCACUUAGGUUUCUCAAAAUUGUAAAACUAGGCGACAUACAAAACAAGUUGAACUUUUCAAGCAAGAACAGAUAAAGGCUCAAUUUAUCCUCCACACAUUAAGCAACAAAUGCAAGCAAAAAGAUUGGCAUGUCGAAAAUUUUAAUAGUUAAGGUUGUUAGGUCCUAUAGACAUGAUUUCUAAGUACUUCUAGAUUUUAAUCGCACUGCAGUUUAUGAGAAACAAUUUAUAGGGGGCUAUGUAAUUGUCACGACUCAAACUGAUGGGCCGCAACGGGUUCCUAAGUCUUACCUGUCAAAUACCGCUAAGCAUGCGUCCAAGAUAUGAACUUGAAUAACAUUUGCUCAAUUACAAAAAUAACAUAUAUGAAGGAGACCUGCCAACAAGGCAUAUGUACGUAUACGUGCAGAAUAUAGUGGGCGAGCCGGCAAGGCUGCUAUAGACAACUAUACAUCCAAAAUUGAAAGCCGAGAAGGCCACAUACAACCCAACUAGACAUACUAUCUACAAAUCUCUAAUGGAAAUAUAACUGUACAAAGACGGGACUGAGCCACAUCAUACCCAUAUAUAUAUACAUAUCAUACCAAAAUCAAAAGCAGCUCUGGAUCAAGUUGAGCACGCCAACUCUCACUGAUCAGGGAUCCUAAGAAGGGGGACCAUCAACUUGCCUACCUGUACCUGCGAGCUUGAAACGCAGGCCCCGUGAAAUAUGGCGUUAGUACGAAAAAUGUACUAAGUAUGUAAGGCAUGAAAAUUUGUACGUAAAAGACAUAAAUGAAACAUGAAAUAUAGAAACACGUCUUUAAAUUUGAAUAAUCUUGUAAAUUCUAAAACAUUUAUAAUGUCAUGCACGUUCGUAUAAAUGUCAUGCCAUGCAUAGGUAUUGGUGUACAUUAUAUCAUCAAGCCACUGAGGGCAUGCCAUCAUAUCGUCUCGGCAACUAUGGGCAACAUUAUCAACAUAUACCAGCUGAUCAGGUGAUGGUGCAUAUAUAACGCCGUAACCCUUUCCCAUAUCUCAUAUACAUAGAUUUACAUAUAUACGCGUAUAUAACGCCAUCUGGUCACGGGUCAAUGCACAUGCAUAAAUGGGUGAAAUGUAUAAAAAUAUGUAAAAAUCUCAAUAUUCCUUUCGGAUAAACUUUUUUCAACUACGUAUUAUUCUGAGACCCAUGAACAGAAGAUAAUAAUAAUUCACAUGGGAAAAUCACGAAUAUGGCCACCCUUAGUAUUUCUAUGAAUAGAGUAAUUUAUGAAAACUGUACGUUUACUCGUUUCUUCAGUAUAAUUUGGAUCAUGCCAAAAGAAAGAAUGGAUGGCCUUAACAUACCUAGAAUAUUUUUAAUGAAAUAAGCUUCUGCUUCCUUGAAUUUUACUUGAUCGUAAUGAGCUUCUCCUCCCCGAAUAGUUUUGAACGAAUUUUUGACUUCUCUACCUUGAAUUAUUUGAACUAAUUUGGACUUCUCUUCCUUGAAUUGUCUUGAACUAGGUUUUAAUGAAAUGAAUUAUUUGUAUACUUGCUCCCAAGGAAGCUUCUGCAAGCUUGGUGUGUGCUUUUGAUUUAUGAGCUGCUCACCAGGAAUUUAGUGCCUUUUAUCUUCUUGGUUACUGUAAUCUUAUGCUAGUACUUCUUACAUUUGAGUGUUAUUUCCUCUUAUUAGAAUACUAGAGAUUGAAGCUGGAAAACGUUUCUUACUUUUUUUAAUUAAGAACAUCUUUUGUUCUUUGUCAAAAAGGAAGUAGUAAGCUACUUAUUAAAUGUCAAUUAACUCUUAGGUAGCCACCUACUCCAAACGUGACCAUGAGUCAUUGUUUGGAAAGUGGUUUGAUGCCAUAUUUCUUUUGGGGUGUAAUUUUGUUAAUUUUUAUCCACUUAUUAGUUAACUGGGUAAUGAUUCGUUACCCAUUAAUUAACCAAUUACUCGCAUAAUUUAAAAAUUGUCACAAAUUACUUAAAAUUUUACUUAUUUUUAAUAUACUUCAUAUAUUCUUUAUACAUUAUACUAUCGUGAUCAUAUGGUACCUUGCAUGGUACUACUCAAUAAUUAUCUGGUAUUUUUGCUUGACCCGUAUUUUAUCCCAAAUUGGCCACUUUCAACGAAACUCAUUUUCUUUAAUUCUUGUACCCUUUAUCCUUCAUGACACUUCUUUAUCGCUUGUUAUAAAUAGCAUAACUACACUAACCUCAAGAUAAUCUCAUCCCUAAGACUACGUCGAUUAACUGAAGACGAAACUUUUAACGUACAAAAAUGCGAGAUGUAGCAUCCUUCACCCUUUAGAAACAUUCAUCCUCGAAUGUUCAAUUCCCCAUGAACUAUAUAGCUUUGGCAGGGUCACCUUUGUAACAACACUACUACCCAUUCUACCCGUAGAAGCUUAAUAACCAAUGCCACACAAGGCCACAAUUAUGAAUAACGAUAAUGACCUCACAUGACCAACGACAAUAACCAACACAAGAAUUUAUACACGUACCUUAUGGUUAUGACAUCUCGGUCGGACCCUUAUUUGGAAGAGGAAAUAAGUAGGAGUUUCUAGACUUCAUGUCUUCCUCGGCCUCCCAAGUCAUUUCUUCCACAUUGUUGUUCCUCCAAAGUACUUUCACGGAGGCUACCUCCUUAUUCUAGCUUGUGGAUUUGAUGGUCUAGGAUGGCAACUAGAAUUUCCUUGUAUGAAAAGUCUUCUGUAAUCUGCACAUCAUUCAUGGGCAUCACUCGAGUAGGAUCGCCAAUGCACUUUCGUAACAUAGAUACAUGAAAAACCAGAUGGACAGACUCCAACUCCGAGAGCAAUUAUAACUCAUAAGCUACUUGGCCCAUUCUCCGAAUGAUCUUAUAAGGCCCAAUAUACCGUGGGCUAAGUUUGCAUUUCCUGCAAAAUCUUAUCACACCAUUCAUAGGUGACACCUUUAAGAAUACCCAGUCAUUAACCCCGAACUCUAAAUCUCGACGCCGCACGUUAGAAUAUGAAUUCUGAUGACUCUGAGCUAUCAAUAGUCGAUCUCGGAUAAGCUUUACAUUUUUUAUGGCUUGCUGAACCAGGUCUGGCCCAUGUAAUACAGAUUCUCCAACAUCGAACCACCCUAUAGGUAACCUACACUUCCGUCCGUACAGAGCUUCGUAUAUAGCCAUCUGAAUACUGGAAUGGUAGCUAUUAUUAUAUGCAAACUCAAUAAGCGGCAAAUGAUCAUCCCAGCUACCUUUGAAGUCCAUUACACAAGCUCGUAACAUAUCCUCCAGUGUCUGAGUAGAACACUCAGCCUGUUCGUCUGUCUGGGGAUGAAAUAUGGUACUAUGACUUACUUGAGUCCCCAAUCCUUUUUGGAAGGACCUCUAGAAGUUAUCUGUAUAUUGAGCUCCUUUAUUCGAGAUAAUAGAUAUGGGGACACCAAGUAGUCAUACAAUCUCCUUAAUAUGAAUCCUUCCAUAAUCCUUUAAUCAAUAUGUAGUUCUAAUGAGUAGAAAAUGGGAUGAUUUUGUAAGCCUAUCAACCAUCACCCAUAUCGAAUCGAACUAAUGCUGGGUACGAGGUAAGCCUACGAUGAAAUCCAUAUUGAUUAUUUCCUAUUUCCAAGUCAGAAUCUCCAUAGCAUGCAAUAAUCCACCGAGUUUUUGAUGUUCAAUCUUAACUUGCUGAUAGUUAGGGCACUGAGCAACAAAUACUGCUAUAUACAUUUUUCAAUCCGUUCCACCAAUAUACUUCCCUGAUAUCAUGAUACAUCUUUGUCAAUCCUGAUUGGAUAGAAUAACGAGAAUAGUGAGUUUCUCCCAUAACCUGUCAACGCAGCCCUGCAACAUUAGAUAUACAUAAUUGCCGUUGAUAUCUGAGGAACCCAUCUUCUGUAAUUUCAAAUGGUGUCUUCUCCUUCUGAAGGGUGGUAUCCCUGUAACGAACUAACACAGGAUCCUCAUACUGGCGUUCCUUUACUUCUAUUACUAAAGAGGAUAUUGCCAUAUCCUGAACAGUAAUUCCAAUAUUACCCGAGUUCAGUAACCGAGCUCCAAGACUAGCUAGCUGAUGAACCUCAUGGGCUAUUCCCCUCUUUUCUGGCUAUAAAUACGACAGGCUACCCAUAGACCUACGGCUGAGGGCGUCGGCUACUAUGUUUGCCUUCCUCGAAUGUAUAAAAUAUCAACGUCAUAGUCUUUAAGUAGCUCCAACCAUCUCUUUUGAUGUACAUUCAGUUCCUUUUGCUUGAAAAUGUACUAGAGGCUUUUAUGAUCCAUAUAGAUGUCAACAUGAAUGCCAUACAAGUAGUGCCUCCACAUAUUUAGUGCAUUAAUCACCGCGGCUAACUCUAAUAUGGGUCGGGUAGUUCUUCUCGUAAUUUCUUAGUUGUCUGGAAGCAUAAGCCACAACCUUACCAUGCUGCAUCAGCACACAACCCAACCUAACGUCAGAAGCAUCACAAUAGAUAACGUAACCAUCGGUCCCUUCCGGGAGCAUUAGAAUUGGUACUGAAGUUAAUCUAUCCUUUAAUGCCUGGAUACUCCGUUCGUAAGCAUCAGUCCAUUGAAACUUUUCUCUCUUCUGAGUCAACUUCAUCAAAGUUGCUGAUAGGGAAGAAAAUCCCUCCACAAAUCUCUUGUAAUAACCUGCCAAACCGACAAAGCUACGAACCUCCGCCGGUGUUGUGGGUCUAGGCCAAGUUUUUACUGCCUCAAUCUUUUGUGUAUCCACCGGAUGCCUUCACCCGAAAUGAUAUUCCCAAGGAAAGCUAUAGAGUUUAAGAACAAUUCACACUUAGAGAAUUUUGCAUACAACUUCCCUUUUUGUAGAACUCUGAGCAUAGUACACAGAUAAUCAGCAUGCUCAGCCCCUGAAAGAGAAUAUACCAAUAUAUCAUCGAUAAAUACAAUUACAAACAGAUCUAAAAAGGGACUGAAUACAUGAUUCAUCAAAUCCAUGAACACUACUGGGCAUUGGUCAGACCGAAAGACAUAACAUGAAACUCAAAGUGCUCGUAUCUGGUCCUGAAUGCUGUCUUUGAAAUAUCUUCAUCCUUAACCCUUACCUGAUGGUACCCGGGCCUCAAGCCUAUCUUUCAAAAACACUUGGCACAUUGCAGCUGAUCAAAUAAAUUGUCAAUCCUCGGGACCGGGUACUUAAUCUUGAUUGUCACCUUAUUCAACUGUCUAUAAUCAAUACACGUUCGUUAGGAAUUUCUUCCUCACAAAUAACAAAGGUGCUCCAUACAGGGAUGUACUAGGUCUGAUAAAGACAUUUUCAAGCAAGUCCCUUAGUUGUUCCUUUAACUUUUCAGCUCCGUGGGGGCCAUCCUAUAGAGAGGAAUAGAUAUUGGGUGAGUAUCUCGUAGUAGGUCAAUGGCAAACUUAAUUUCUUGUUCUGGCGGAAGACCCGGAAGUUCAUUGGGAAAAACAUCGAGAAACUCAUAACCAGUGGGAUGGACUGAAUGGAUGGUGACUCUACUUCCACAUCCUGAACCCGAACUAAGUGAUAAAUAUAGCCCUUUUUGAUCAUCUUCCUUGCCUUGAGAUAGGAAAUAAAUUUUCCUCUCAGCGAUGCCAUAUUACCUUUCCACUCCAAAACAGGCUCCCCUGGAAAUUGAAAUCGGACUAUCUUUGCUCUACAAUAAAGGUUGGCAUGACAAGAAGCCAACCAAUCCAUACCUAUUAUAACAUCAAAUUCUACCACAUCUAACUCGAUUAGAUCUGCUACGGUAGAUCGACCAUGAACUACUAUUAUACAACCCCUAUAGACUUGCUUAGAUAUUUCUGAGUCCCCAACAGGUGUAGAUACCUCAAAAGGUUUAACCAAUUCAUGUAUUAUUUCAACCUUACUAGAAACCAAUGGGGUAACGUAUGAUAAGGUGGAACCUGUAUCAAUCAGUACAAAUACAUCAUAUAAGGAGACUUAUAAUAUACAUGUAACAACAUCAAGCGAUGAAUCUUGGUCAUGUCGUGCUGCCAAUGCAUAAAUGCGGUUCUGAGGGAUACUCGAUCUAGAUGCUCCGCCUCUACCUCUACCAUGACUUAUUGGUGCUCGGGGACCUUGCCAAGGGGGUCGUACUGAUGAUGACAAACCAGCUAUAGAUCCCGACGGCUGAGCUAUACUUGCAUCACCUCUCAUCCGACAAUCCCUCAUAACGUGGCCCAAAUAACCACAAGUAUAACAAAUACCUAACCCCAUAUGGCACUGCCUGGUAUGCUACUUACCACAUUGAGCACAUCGUGGCAAGGGCAGCCUCAUCUGAUUUGACUAGCCCCUAUACUGAGAGCCUGAGGUCCUGAAAUUCUGACCAGACCCUGAAUAUGAAGAACGAUCAAAUCUCUAAUGCCAAACUAAGGGGAUGUACUAGCCGAUGGCUGGGAUGGAUACCUCAGGUACUGCUGCCUCUGACCACCUCAAAACUCACAAGAAGGACCAAAAGACCUUGCUCUCUUAUUCUGGGUCCUAUCAUGCUCAUGAUCGGCCCUCUAAUUCUGUUUACCCUCCUCUACACCCUGAGCAUAUGCCUAAAUACGAGAAAUAUCCAUGUCUGGCGGAAGUGAGACCGACAUACAAUUGUUAAGCAAGUGAUGCUCUAAUUCCAUAAUGAACCAUUAAACUCGAUCCUCUAUCUUAGAUACAAUAGUGGGAGCAUACCUAGUCAACGAAUCAAACUAAAGACUGUACUCCUAAACACUCAUGUUACCUUGUCACAGGGUCAAGAACCUAUCAACUCUAGCUCGCCUAAGCUCUGGUGGCAGAUAAUGAUGAAGAAAAGCUUCUGUAAACUCCUGCCAUACUGCUGGAGGGGCAUCCUCACCUCUGGACAAUUCCCAAGACUUGUACCAAUUAACUGCAAUAUCUCAGAGUCUAUAGGAAGCUAGCUCAACUGACUCAAUCACAGUGGCCUUCAUUACCCUUAACGUCCUCUGCAUUCUAUAAAUAAAUACUUGAGGGUCCUUAUUCGGAUCUACCCGGUGAAUAGUAGAGGGUCUAAAUUAAUGAAGUCACGAACCCUCGCACUGACUGACUUAUCUGCAUGGCCAAUACCUAUUUCCUGACAUCGAGCCUGCGCGGCUACUAAUCGGGUUAAUAGCUGAAUAGCAUCUCUUAUCUCCUAACCCGGUGCAUCCGACUGAGGUGCUAAAUGUACAGGGGGCGCUGGACCUGGUGCCCCUCGGAGCUCUUCUAGAAAGGGCGGGGUAUGUGAAGUCUAAGAUAGAAUCUAACCAUGAGACUCUCCCUGAGCCUUGGUAACUCGUGGCACUCGUCUAGUAGUCUCACCAGCCACAGACUUUCCCUUAUAGGCAGCCGUACUCUUUGGAAGCAUCGCCGAAAAUAUAACAUAUCAUUAGGAACAUGAAUUACUGUAUUGCACAAUCUGAGAUAAAAAGAGAGGAUAACAUCCUAUAUGUCCUGUAGCCUCCUAUUUAUAAGUGUGGUUCACAACAAACCCAUAAAUUAGGCUCUACUAGACACGGUCUAUAGACAACCCUAGGAUAGAACUGCUCUGAUACCACUUUUGUCACGACCCAAACCGAUGGGUCGUGACGGGUGCCUGAGUCCUCUCUGUCAAACCCCCCUAAGCAUGUAUCUAAGAUAUGAACCUGAAUAACAUUUGCUGAAUUACAAAAAUAACAUACAUCAAGAAGACCUGCCAACAAGGCAUAUGUAUGUAUACAUGCAGCAUAUAGUGGGCGAGUUGGCAAGGCGGCUAUAGACAACUAUACAUCCAAAACUGAAAGCCGACAAGGCCAUAUACAACCCAACUAGACAUACUUUCUACAGACCUCUAAUGGAAACAUAACUGUACAAAUACGGGACUGAGCCACGUCAUACCUAUAUAUAUACAUAUCGUACCAAAAUCAAAAGCAGCUCUGGAUCAAGUGGAGCACGCCAACUCUCGCUGAUCAGGGAUCCUAAGAAGGGGGACCGUUAGCUUGCCUACUUGCACCUACGGGCAUGAAACACAUGCCCCGUAAAAUAGGGCGUCAGUACGAAAAAUGUACUGAGUAUGUAAGACAUGAAUUUUUCUACAUAAAAGACAUAUAUGAAACAUGAAAUAUAGAAACACGUCUUUAAAUUUGAAUGACCUUGUAAAUUCUAAAACAUUUAUAAUGUCAUGCACGUGCAUAUAAAUGUCAUGUCAUGGAUAGGUAUGAGUGUACAUUAUAUCAUCAAGUCACUGAGGGAAUCCCAUCAUAUCGUCUCGGCCACUGUGGGCAACACCAUCAACAUAUACCAGUUGAUCAUGUGGUGGUGCGUAUAUAACGCUGUAACCUUUUUCCAUAUCCCUUUUUUUGGUUUUGAAGAUUACUUUAUAUUAACUAAUUCAUAAAAAACGUUACAGGGAGCUGCUGCCCUUAGGCAUCGAAAUAAGAAUCUUAUGAGUUCUAGUACUGGCAGUGCUAUGUCGUUGUACAUUACAAGGGGAAAUAGAACUAUUACUACUCCUUUGGUUAUCUUUGUGCAUGACAACUGCUCUAUUAGGAUUUUAGCUUGUUGAAAGUGCUGCGUUUUGGGUGCCAGAGGAGGGUAAUGAGUCCAUACAAAAAGUUUUGCUUCUUGGUAUCCAUCUAGUCGUGCCAACACCAUACUUGUCAUUCAAAAGAUAUUUCCAUAUGAAGUGAGGAGGAUCUGCAAAAAAGGUGAUAGGAGUGCCUUCCAGUUCCAUACCAAAAUGUGCAAGUUUAUCUGCUAUUAUAUUUUGGUCCCUGUAAGUGUGGCUAAGUGGUGGAUUAUUCAGCUGGUGGAUAUGGAACCUGCAGUCAAAUGCAAUAGCUGAUUUUAGCGAGUAGUUGGUAUUGAUCAAAUUAAUUACCUCCUUUGCAUCCAUGUGGAUUUGAAGUGGUGUUAAGUUGUGCGUAAAAGCCAUUUUCAAACCACGUAAUAAUGCCAUGAGUUCAAUAUUAUUAACACUGGUAGAUGCUGAGUGACCCGCAUAUCCCAUAACCCAAUUGCCGUUAUAAUCCCUGAAAACCUCGCCAAAGCCUGCACGUGAUUUGUCUUGUGUGAAAGCUCCAUCCGUAUUGAGAAAAAAUAUUGUGGGUGGGGGUGGGUUCUAUUUGACAUACAUAGGAAUUUGGUUGUAGGGUUUGGAUGGUUGAUUAACAAAGUAUUGAUAUUCCUGGGCAAGUUGGAGGAUUGUAUUAAUGGAGGGUGAGUGGUUUGGAUUCUCAAAGCAGAAUUUAUUUCUAAUGAUCCAAAUGUGCCACAAGGUGAAUGGAACGAGUAACUGUACUGCUAUGUGAGGAUUAGCUAACGUACCUUUUUGGAGGGCAAGGGGUUUUAGCCAACAAGUGUUAUUGUUUGGGAAAGUAGUUAAGGAAUUUAUGAGGGGUCCUAGAUGUAGCCCUUCCCAGCAUUGUUUGGCUCUAGGAUAGUGAAGUAAUAUAUGGCUUAUUGUUUCUUCCUCAAUUAGGCAGAUGUUGCACUUAUUAGACGAGGUUAUCCCUAGCCUAUGUAGAUACCUAUUGGUAGGUAACCUAUUAUGGCUAAUGAGCCAUAGGAAAUUUUUUAUUUUGGGUAGCAUAUAUAGCUUCCAAAUCCACCCAUGAUUGUUUUCCUUAUCAGUAGGUGGUUGGAGAAAUUUAUAGUAAGAAUUAGCAGUGAAACAACCAUUAAAGGUGGCUCCCCAAGUGAUUCUAUCAGGCCUAUGGUCAUAAGGAGAUAUGUAGGUGGAAUUAAUUAGGUGGGUUAUAUUACUAGGUAGUUCAAAGGAGAAGGGGCAGUCCAGUGUUCUAGUAAUAGAUAAUGCUUGGGCAACCGUUACAGUUACUUCACGGUUUGUUAGGGGGCCUUGUAUAAAGCUUUGAAUAGUAGUGUGUGGGGCAAUCCAGGUAUCAUUCCAAAAUAGUACACUAGUACCUUGAUUAACUUGCCAUUGAAUGCAUAGUUGGCAUGUUUGCCAGCCUUUCAUAAUGUGUGCCACAGUAGGGAGAGUUUCUUUGAAUGGUGAGGUGUGUGAGUUGUGUAUGUGAAUGAGGAAUGAUGCCCAAAGGCUUUCAGGAUUAUGGAAGAUUCUCCAAUCAGUAGCAACUAGUAAGGCUUGAUUUUUGUGAAGGAGUCGUUGGAUGCCUAAGCCUCCAUGAUUCUUUGGAAAAGUGAUUGUAUUCCAAUUGAGCAGAUGUAACCAUUUUUUCUGAGGGGUGGACCCCAUAAAAUUUUUUUUUGAUAGGAUUCUAGUUGAUUGAUCACAUAUGAGGGAAUUUGGAUAAUUUACAUAAUGUGGCUGGGAAUGGUAUUGAGAGUAGCUUUGAUUAAGGUUGUGCAACCUGCUAUAUUAUGGUGAUUUAUUUUCCUACCCGUUAAUCUAUUCUUAAAGUUGUUAGGGAUAUGAAUGUAUUCGGUGAGCCAUGGGAUUGAGGAUUGGGACUCCAGGUAGAAUGGCAUUUUCACAAGAGAGGGAAGCUCUAAGUGGGAUUGGGGGUAGUGGUUCCACCAUAGCGAGUUGUUGUUCAUUUGUGGGGUUGCCCAGUGGAAUAGAGUGUAAUAAGUCAUGGCUACAUGCAUCCCCUCCGUGAUGAUCUGGGCUAGGUCUUGUGGAUUUUAUAGUCGGAUUAGUACCUCCUAGUUGUUCACGAUCAUUAAGAAGGUGAGGGCAUGAUUCUGUAACCCCAUCUCCAACCAGGAUUGUGGUGGUUGGUAUGGGUUUGGUGCUUGGGAGGUGUAAAUGACUGGAUAAGUCAUGGGAGGACGAGGAGGGUUCCUUUGCAUGUUGCCAGGUUAGAGAAGGUUAAUGUUUAAUGGCCUCUAUAGAAGUAGGGUUGGUUGUUGAUGUUGUGUGCGUAAGGGGUAAUGUUGUGCAUGGUACCUCGGCAUGGUUUAUGAUAGUGGUGUAAGGAAGAGUGAGUGAUUGCAUGUGGGUUAGGUCAUUUAAUGAUGAAUUGGUAGUAUUUGUAGAAGCAUGAAUAGGCAGUUGAGGCGGUAGCUUAGAGGGGAGUUGAUGGUUAUCGUAUAUGAUGUGCACCUCAGUUGGGUUAAGGAGAGAAUGGUGAGAUUUUAUUGGUUGCAAGGAAGUGGGGAAGGCUGAGUGAAGUGUUGGAGUGGGCUUAAGAUGUGAUAUUGGGGGAUCAUGAUUACCUAGGGGAGGGAGAAGUGUGUUUGUAGUAGUAUUAACAGGUGUCAAUACAUUAGGAGUGGUAUUGGAGAUGGAAGGCAGUGGAGCUGACGUGGACAUAGUAGAGGCAUGGUUAGUGUAACAGGUGGGACUAUUCAUUGUGGGGUGGUAUGAGAAAUCUGAGUUAGUAGUUGAUACGUGGGCUGCUAAAGAGGGGUUGGGCUUGGUCUCUGUCAUGCCAAUAGGUAUAGUGUGGGCUGAAUUGGUUAUUGGUGGGCUUAGGGGGGUCUCCUUUUAAUUAGUAGCUGAUUGUAAUAAAUCAAAACUAUUUUUUGUAGCAAAUAACGUAUUAGCAGAUAAUGUAGUAGUUAAAGAGUUGAUUAAUGGAGUGCUGGUUUUAUGGAUAGUGAACAUACCUGGGCCAGCUGAUUGGAGUGAAUCCUUAGUGGAGCUUAUUGACGAAGUGCUUGUGUUGACAAACGUUGAUGGCUGCCUUGUGGUUGACUUGGGCGAGGUGUUUGCCCAAUAUUUGUGUGCGCCUGCUUUGGGAGUUCGUCGUGGGAAAACCACUAUUUUCCAUUCUCCCUCUGUAGGUACUAGUUCACUGCUUGGGGUGGCCUGUGCUUGGGAUUUGUUAUAGGUUGUUACGUGUAUUGGGCUUUGUUGUCUAUGAUUUGGACAUUGGAUAUUGGUAUGGCCAAUUCGUCCACAGAUGGUGCAUAACAUGUUCAACCCUUCAUAGAGAACUUGUUGUCGAUGAUUCCCAAUUAACACAUGGGAUUUUAGUGGGUUUUCAAGCGGAACCUCUAUGCAAAUCCUUUCUUAUCUACCCCUUGUGGUAGAUGAUGUACAUGUAUCGAUUUUAAGUAGUUUACCUAGUUUGUUACCCACCUUUUGGAGAAUUUCUAUAUAAUAGAACUCCGUAGGCAACUCAGGCAGUCGUGACCAAAUUGCUGUAUAGGUAAGUUUUGUUGUUGAAGCUAGGAAUUUUUGUUCCCACCUUCGAAUGGAUAGGAAGUGGUUUAGUACAAAUCAUGGACCUCCAUGUAGUGCUCUAUUCAUGUUUUCCUCCUUUUGGAAUUUGAUAAGGAAAAAUUCAUUCCUUAAAUCAAUUAAAGGCAUUGGUUUUGUAGGUUGCCAUAGUGUUUAGAUUUUUUGUUUGAGGAUUAGAUGACCCACCUUUCUUUCGAAUACUUUGAUGAUUAUUGAAUAUUUUCAAGGGGAAUAGAGUUGAGUUUUAUCUUCUAUGGAUAGUGGAAUGGAAUUUUCCAAAGCUUGCUCUUGUAUGGUUUCAUCGGACAUGUCUAUGUUGUAUUGUGAAUUGGAGAUAGUUGGCAUGCAAUGAUUGUGAUUUUUCAGUAGAGUUUGUACGAAUGAGGGGUGUUGGUUGGUAUUGAUUGGAUCCUCUAUAUUUAUAGUGCUAAUGUCAGGGGGUCAGUUGGCUGGGCAGUGGGAAUGUUAGUCAUAUUAGUGAGUUUCAAAGAUGAUAGUAGGAGAAGGAAGGGAGGGAGGGUAGUGAGAAGCGAGAGUUUCUCUGUCUAUAUUAUUAUGAAAUUGCUUACAAUCUUUUCCCAUAUCCCAUAUACAUAUAUUUAUAUAUAUACGAGUAUAUAAUAUUAUCUGGUCACGGGUCAAUGCACAUGCAUAAAUGGGUGAAAUGCAUGAAAAAUACAUAAAAGUCUCAAUAUUCCUUUCGGAUAAACUUUUUUCAACAGCGUAUUAUUUUGAGACACAUGAACAAACGAUAAUAAUAAUUCACAUGGGAAACUCACGAAUAUUGACACCCCUAGUAUUUCUAUGAAUAGAGUAAUUUAUGGAAACUGUGCGUUUGCUCGUUUCUUCAGCAUAAUUUGGAUCAUGCCAAAAGAAAGAAUGGAUGACCUUAAUAUACCUGGAGUAUUUUGAACGAAAUAUGCUUCUGCUUCCUUGAAUUUUUCAUGAUCGUAAUGAGCUUCUACUCCCCGAAUAGUUUUAAACGAAUUUUUGACUUCUCUACCUUGAAUUAUUUGAACUAAUUUGGACUUUUUUUCCUUGAAUUGUUUUGAACUAGGUGUUAAUGAAAUAAAUUGUUUGUAUACUAGCUUUCAAGUAAGCUUCUGCAAGCUUGGUGUGUGCUUUUGAUUUAUGAGCUACUCACCAGGAAUUUAGUGCCUUUUAACUUCUUGGUUACUAUGAUCUUAUGCUAGUACUUCUUACUUUUCAGUGUUAUUUCCUCUUCUUGGAAUACUAUUGAAGCUAGAAAAUGUUUCUUACUUUUUUAAUUAAGAACAUCUUUUGUUCUUUGUCAAAAAAUAGUAGUAAGCUACUUAUUAAAUGUCAAUUAACUCUUAGGUAGCCGCCUACUCCAAACGUGACUAUGAGUCAUUGUUUGGAAAGUGAUUGGCUGCCACGUUUAUUUUGGGGUAUAAUUUUAUUAAUUUUUAUCCAAUUAUUAGUUAAUUGGGUAAUAUUUCAUUACCCGUAUAAUUUUUAAAUUGCCACAAAUUACUUAAAAUUCUACUUAUUUUUAAUAUACUUCACAUAUACUUUAUACAUUAUACUACCGUGCUCAUAUGGUACCUUGCAUGGUAAUACUCAAUAAUUAUCGGGUAUUUUCACUUGGCCCGUAUUUUAUCCCAAAUUGGUCACUUUCAACGAAACUCAUUUUCUUUAAUUUGUGUACUCUUAUCCUUCAUGACACUUCUUUAUCGCUUGUUAUAAAUAGUGUGACUAUAUUAACCUCAAGAUAAUCUCAUCCCUGAUACUACGUCGAUUAACUAAGGACUACGAAAACACAAGAUGUAAUAGUAAUUGCCUACUGAUUACAAUUAGAAGUGUUUGAACUUAUAGACAUGUUAUCUAUGUAAUUUUAUAGGCAGUUGACAACAGAAAUGAUUAGAUUAAUUACUCCUAUAAGUAUGCUUUCUAGUGGUACUUAGCAAGACACCAUGUUGAAUCCAGUUUUAAUAUUUAUCACAAGUGAUAAUUAUUACUAGGCAUGAAUUCUACUUUUGGUGAUUGAAACUGCUUAUUAAUUCCUAGAGAGAUGCAUAUUAACUUAGCGAGUGUGAAAAUUAACUAGAAACCUAUUGACAUGAUUUCUAAAGGAACAGUUCAGAAUAUGCUAUAAGUUGCAUUUCCUAUAGGCAUGGUACCUAAUCAUGUGAAGCAGAAUAGACAGUAUAAUCACAGAACUUAUUUGAGCCAAAAUGAAAUCUCUAUAGGCAAGACAUCUAACAAGCGAUGGCAGAUGUAAAUAUUUAGACAUGUUUUUAGCAUACAAUUUCUGGGCGUAAAAUAAAACUUAUGAGCAUGUUAUCUAACAUAUAAUAGCACGAAAACCUAUAGGUAUGUUAUCUACCCAUUUUAUUUAGAAUAUCAAAUAAGCCCAUUUCUCAAUUUUAUUAUAACCCCCAAUUAUCAUUACAAAUAAUUAUUACAGAUCGGAAUCAAAUGAAUAAAUUAUAAAGUGUAUAGACUAUAGGAAGCCUGCAGUAGGCCCAAAAACAUCUGGAUAGGCCAGGCCCUUUAAUCCACAAUAACUUCAAAAAGCCAGUGUUCAUAGUGAUCUCAGUGACUGAUGCACCUUUGUUUCAAUGAUAAGCAUACCAAGCCCAAUUCUCUAGUGUGUCAGAGUUCUCAAGGGCUUCACAAACCCCGACCAAUGCUCACACUAGAGUAGAAAGAUCAUAACAAAUUCAAGGAGAACUAUAGACCACAUCCUGGUGUGUCAGAGUUCACGGGGGUAUCAUAAGGACCCUGAGCAGUGCUCACACCAGGAAGACCAAUGGAUAGUACUUAGAGUACUUUGGCUUUCAACAAGCAAAGAAUUAGGAUUCAGAAGACCGCAGGACGAGAUUUUGAUGUACACUUAGGGAUAGAAUCACACACAGAAACAGAGACAAACACUUUGAAACUAAACAUACUUGAAACUAGCUUGUUUGAAACAAGUUGAUAAAGACCAAUUUCUAAACAUGCUUCACAAAGGCAAUAAAGAAUUCAGAUUAGGAUAAGUCAUAUGAGAUCAAUCAUGAGUCAGUAGGCACAUUAGUUAUUAAUAAACAUUAACAAAGAGGAUACAAAAUGGUGAGCACCGGAUCAAGUAAAUAACAUGACAACAGACUUAGCAACAAACUAAUGAGUCUACAUGGUAAAUCAGUGUCAACACAAUUAAUACCAAAUAACAGCCUUAAGUUACAAACAAUUAAAUAGGUUUCAUCAAUUAAUUCACCGAGUUUAAGCAUGUCUAAAACACAUAGAGCAAUGAUUCUAAUAACAGUAGCAUAUUAAACAAGUUACACAGUAGGGAAGUUUCAAUAACUUACUAGUUCAGAUGAAACAGAAAGAAGUUUAAUGAUGCAGCAAUGAUCAUCAACAACUGUUGAUACCCAAUUUUUCCCUAUAUAUUUUUAAUAUUCAUAAAUACUUUCAAAAUAGAAUAUGUAUAUGCAUAUAUAAGCAUGCACAAGGUUUUAUAAUUUUUCUAUAAUUUUAAAGAUUUUAAAUUGAUUUAUUUCUUCCUUUUUCACUUAUAAAAUUUCCAAUAAGUAUCCUUCAAAUUAUUGUUGUGAUAAUUUAAUCAUCUAAAUUCUAUAUUUAUGCCAAAAUAUUUUUAAAAUAUUUUUAGUGUAUUUUUAUAAUUGCAUUUUGUAUUUUUAAAGCUAAUUUGCAUAUAAUUACAAUAUUAGCCUUAUUAGUGUACAAUUACAUUUAUAUGCAUAAUAUUGAUCUCCUAUAUUUUUAAAAUAUUAAAUUUCUAUUUAAAUCAUUUUAAUACACCAAAUUAUUUUUUAGAAAUUAUUUAUUAUUUAUUAUAAAUUAUAUAGUAUUAAAUUAACUAUUUAAAACUUAGCAAAAUUGUAUUUCAAUUGUAACCUCAAUUUAAUCUAGUACCCCACCCCAAUUUCAGAAUAAAGCACCUGACCCAGGCCCUAAAUACCCUUACUCAACCCAGAACACAUCAGAUCAUGGCCGUUGAUCUUUUCAGAUCAACAACCCGUAUUUGUUCUUUCCUUUUUAAUUCUAAACGACCCCCUAACCCUAAUCACUUUUCCAUAUCUGUUUCCCGAAGAUCCUCUCCUCUCUCAAAACACUCUCAACCUAACCCUAAUCUUCAAAGGCCGGCCUCCCAUAUCCGGUGACCUCUCAUCGUCUCUUAAGCUGCCAAUAGCUUCUCUCAUGCCAUGCUUGCCUUCUCUAAGGUCUUCUAGGGCCUAGGGCCAUGCCGACUUGCAUAUAAGGUUUGUCACCCGCCUGUUCUUGGCUACUCCAAUGUGAUUUCAAGCAAAAUCAUGUUGUAUUUGCUACGAUCAUUGGGUUUCUAGACAGGUUUCUUCAUCUCUAUACAGUUUUUUUUUGAAACCCUAAUUUAUUUUCUGCAUCUCCUAUAUCUGUAUCUAGGACGAUUUGAGUUUUUUCUUUAAUGUUUUACACUUUCCUUGAAGUUUUUUUACAAUAAUCGUUGAUUUCAAGUUUAUUUCACCUUCUUCUAAAAAA
This 37292-nucleotide long non-coding RNA is filed under the name Nicotiana tabacum (common tobacco). Its description in RNAcentral is "long non-coding RNA (NTAB_LNC015309)". Lineage: Eukaryota; Viridiplantae; Streptophyta; Magnoliopsida; Solanales; Solanaceae. The record is from RNAcentral.